GAUCCCAUUAGCCUAGUGGUUGAGGCUAUGGGUCGUUAAUCCGGAGACGGCGGGUUCGAUUCCCGUUCCGGUCG
Molecule: non-coding RNA, 74 nt
Organism: Aedes albopictus (Asian tiger mosquito)
Lineage: Eukaryota; Metazoa; Arthropoda; Insecta; Diptera; Culicidae
Source: Rfam